GCAGGACGGCCCCAGGGUUGGCCUGUGCUGAUGGUGCCACCUGGUGGUAGACAUGGGAACGCCCUCACCUGAGAUUUCCUCUCCGUGACCCUUCUUCCCCCUCUAGGGGUCCUGGGCUGCCCUGAGGCCACCGCCUAGCAAGAUCAAGAUAGGGCUUGAGCGGCAGUGGGAUAGGGCAGUGGGGGUUCCGGGGGGGUCCGGUGCAGGCAGAACCAAGAGUGUGCCGGCGGAGGGCUGUCGGUACAGGGUGCAGGGCGUGGCGGCUGCAGGACCUCAGCUUGCCUCUUUAAAUCCCUUCCUGGGCACCGCGGUGGCCCGGCCCUUUCCCCUCGUGCUGUUUCUGCUGGAAACGCCGCACAGUCUCCUCGGGGGCAGCCGCCAGCGGAAACGGUUAUUGGCCGCCAGGUGCUUAGGCCGAAAAUCAGGAAUCUCUUGAAUGAAUGCAUGAAGGUGGAGCCCUUUCCCUUAAUGCGCAGGUGAAAAGGGCACCUCGGUGGAUUCUACUAAAUUUAAUAGAAGACUUGAUGGAUUACAGAGGACUCCUGCUCCAGCUGUGGGGAACUCCAGCCCGCACUUUGCCUCCAGCCCGAUGGUGCAAGAUCCAGCUUCUCUUCAGCCUGGCAUCAAACGUCUUUUUGAUCAGCUUUUCAUCCAUUUUCUGAAAAUGUAGUGAUUGAGAGAUGUUCUGAAUCUUGCAGAAUUCUGUGUCGCACCCUGGCCACACAUCAAUGCAGGCCUGAACCUGACCCUGGGUGGACUCCCUGCUCUCUGCCAGCCCCUUUCUCACCCCUGGGUCCCCACGGCCCCUGGCUCUCUCCCCUCUGCUAGAAUCUCGCUGAGGGAUUGGUGGGGAGGGGGUGGUCACGCACUGGGUGGAGAUCUGGUGCCCCCUGGAGGCCGGACAGGAAGGGCCAGGGCGGACAAGGUCUUUGAGAACUCGGUGGCAUCCCGCUCCUGAUGGCCUGGGUCCCACCGCCCCUCCCCCAGCCUUCCUGACAGCAGAGGAGAUUGAUGGGGCGCUGCUCGAAUGUUCUUCAUCAGCGUCUUCAGUAAUAAGCUUCUCCAUUGGGUAACCGAUCCUAGUUUAGCAAAACCGUUUGUCAACCAUUUCCUCCCUUGAGCUUGAUAAGAACCCCGUGGGAGAGGAGAGAGGGGGGCCCCCCAGGAUCUGAAAAGCUGUGCCUCAGCCAAGUUCAUGAGUCACUGGCGAGGAGGCCUGUAGGUCAGCAAAGCCUAGGAGGUCAAGAGUGCCCACAUGGGGACCUACGGGCCUCAGGGCCGCAGGUUGCUGGGUUGGACCCUGGCUUGGAGCUCAGGAUAGAAACCCGGAAACCCCACAGGCAAAGAAGGAUGCAGAACAGAACAGGGCAGAACCAAGGACCCAGUGAGGGUGGCUGGCGUCAGAGCAAAUAUCAGAGUUCACAAGGUGAAAUAAUCCAAAAAUCUAUACAGAAAAAGCUAAUCAUUUUCUCCAAUCUCUCCCCCAAAGGUGUCUACUCCUGCAGGCUUACCUGUAACCUUUGUCACUCACUCUUCUGAUUCUGCAAACAUAUAAACCACGGAGCCACAGCCAAGAGAAUCUGGACUUGUUCGUUUUUCCUGAAAUAGGAUAUCUUAAAUAAUCCGUGGCUCAGCACUGCGCCCUUUUUUUUCUUUUCUUUUCUUUUUUUUUUUUUUUUUGAGACGGAGUCUCGCUCUGUUGCCCAGGCUGGAGUGCAAUGUCAUGAUCUUGGCUCACUGCAACCUCUGCCUCCUGGGUUCAAGCAACUCUCCUGCCUCAGCCUCCUGAGGAGCUGGGACUGCAGGUGCAAGACACCACGCCUGGCUAAUUUUUGUUAUUUUUAGUAGAGACAGUGUUUCACUAUGUUGGCCAGGCUGGUCUCGAACUCCUGACCUCAAAUGAUCUGCCUGCCUCGGCCUCCCAAAGUGCUGGGAUUACAGGCACAAGCCACAGCACCCAGCCUCACUGUGCCCUUUUCACUGGCAGGCAUUUUAUUGUCCCUACAGACCCAAGACGGGGUGGGGGAGACGUGCUUUGUGCUCACCUGGCUGGUUCAUGGGCAGGUGGCCUGGAGGACCCAGCCCUGGCAGCUGUGGGGUAGCUCCAGCCUGGGCCGGACAGCUUCUUUCAUCGCAGGCACCACUGCGGACAUUGCUGGGAGGAAGAGGAGGGAGAAGCGACGGGCUUCAUUAGGAACGGCUUUCGAUGGAUUGGACGAGGCGCGUCCACCCUGGGGAGGGCCAUCAUUUUAUUCAGUCUACUGAUGCAAAUGCUUAUCUCUUCUGGAAACACCUUCACAGACAGACCCAGAAUAUAGUUGAACCAAAUACUGGGCACCUCAUGGCUCCAACAGGUUGACACAAAAAAUGAACCAUUGCAGAAAACGAAGAACAGUCACCAACUCCCACCCAUGCAGCUGGCUCAUUUGCUGGGCUGCCCUCCCCAGCAGGUGGCACAGGAAUCCCUGCCUUGGCAGGGAGGAGGCCUGGGGUGUGUGCAGGUACCCAUGGGAAGUUUCUUUGCCAUGGGGAAAGCCAGAGUCACCCCUUGCUUGAACACAAGAGUUGGAGGUUUCAGUGAGCUGAGAUUACGCUAUUGCACUCCAGCCUGGGCGGCAGAGUGAGACUCUGUCUCUAGAUAAAUAAAUUAAAUAAAUAAAUAAAUAUAAUUUAAUAUAAAUAACUAGAAAUUUUUCAAUACUUGCAUCUCUGUAGGUUACCUCUGGAAGUGCAGGGCUUUGUCUUUUUGGAUUAACUCAGAAAUUAGACCUUCAGAAAACAACAUCAGCUCUGAUUCUCUGCACCCUUGAUGCUGCCGGUGGCGACUGCGGCUUCCUGAUGGAAAUGUAGACCUGAACAUAAGUCGCAGAAAAAUGCAGACUUGAGUUGGAGCUAAGCUGACUCAGAGCUGCCCUAGAAAGAGGCCCCGUGGCAAAGAACCAAAGGCACCCAGCAACACGAGUGAGGGUGGAAGUGGCUCUUUCCCCAUUCCAGCCUCGCGGUGACCGCAGCCCUGGCUGACACCUUGCUUGCAGCCUGGUGAGAGACAGCAGCCCGAGGACCCUGCUAAGCUGCACCCAGGCUCCUGACCCAUGGAAACUGUGAGAUGAUAAACAUGUACUGCUUAAGCUGAGAUUCGGGCUAAUUUGUUACACAGUCAUAGACAUCGUUUUUUGUUGUUGUUGUUUUUUGAGAUGGAGUCUCACUCUGUCGCCCAGGCUGGAGUGCAGUGGCACAAUCUCAGCUCACUGCAACAUCCACCUCCCAGGUUCAAGCGAUUCUCGUGCCUCAGCCUCCCAAGUAGCUGGGAUUACAGGCAUCUGCCACCAUGCCCGGCUAAUUUUUUUGUAUCUUUAGGAGAGACAGGGUUUCACCAUGUUGGCCAGCUGGUCUCAAACUCCUGAGCUCAAGAGAUCUGCCCACCUUGGCCUCCCAAAGUGCUGGGAUUACAGGCAUGAGCCACUGUGCCCGGCCUGUUACACAGUCAUAGACAUCUAUAAAAUACUCAACACGGUGCCGGCGCAUGGCAAGCAUCAGUUACUGACCACGGUGACCCUUCUGUGUACACCAGGGGAACUCAAAAUACUCAGGAAAUCUAAGCAUAUAAGCCUAGUCACCAGGCUGUCGACAUGACCCUUAACAAUGAACCUGUGUCUUUUGCCACCUCAUGAUGUCAUAGAAGAAGAGCAGCAUCAAUGUUAAGAGUCUGGAGGAGGGACUAGAUGCUGUGGCUCACACCUGUAAUCCCAGCACUUUGGGAGGCCGAGGCAGGUGGAUCACCU
This 3782-nucleotide long non-coding RNA is filed under the name Homo sapiens (human). RNAcentral's name for it is "HSALNT0278384". Lineage: Eukaryota; Metazoa; Chordata; Mammalia; Primates; Hominidae. The record is from RNAcentral.